Molecule: long non-coding RNA, 4580 nt
Filed under: Sus scrofa (pig)
Lineage: Eukaryota; Metazoa; Chordata; Mammalia; Artiodactyla; Suidae
Description: lncRNA (ENSSSCG00030052569.1)
Source: RNAcentral
ACAGAAAAAUCUCAGAUCAAUGGCUCCGUCGGACGGAAAAAAAAAAAAAAAAAGACAGCAAAGCAUGACGGGAAUGUUCGGUUAUGAACAGAUAAGAACUUUAGGUGAAACAUAGAUUCUCCACAAAAUGGGGCUAAGAUUUUUUUUUUUAAAUUAGGUGAGCAAAGAAAGAAAAUACAGCACGAGUAAAACAGCAUCCCUCUUCCUGUUGAGAUGCGAAGGCGCCAGCACACUGCGCUCCAUGUUCUCAUACUCCGCGUGUGCAGACAGAUGGCGAAUCCGCGUCGAUGCUGGGAUGGGUUCUGGGCCCUGCAUGAUGAUGCGAGAAAAGGGAAUCGAAGUCGGGUCCACUGCCGUCUGCACUGUAAGGAGGUUCCUGAAAGCCUGCUGCCCACGAGACGGAACCUUCUAUGAUUGCUGCUGAUGAAGGCUCUCCCCAGCGUUGCUUAUGCAGUGACAGCAAGCAAAACGGCCACCUCACACAGCGGCUUCCUCGGAGUGGGGAGGAGGGACAUCGAUGGAGCAUCUCUGAGCUCCUAGGCCAAGGAUGAGAUCUGAAGCACAGUUUUGAACUACACAGCAGCAGCUGCAGCAAUGCUAGAUCCUUUAACCUACUGUGCUGGCCCUGGAAUUGAAGCUGAGUCCUUGGUGCUGCAGGUACGCCACUGAUCUUGUUGUGGGAAUUCCUAUAUUGAUGAAUUUUAAAAAUGGUUGUGUACUUAUGCUAUUGAGAACUGAAGAAAAGUGGAAUUGCACUUUCAGCCCUGUAGUCACAGUAGUAAUACAAAAUUUUAUUUUUCAAUGAAUUUAUUUUUCAAGUUCGUUGUUUAAAGAAACAGUAAGUAAAUAAUAUUAACGAUGGUACCCAGAAAAUGCAAAAAUUGUAAAGGCAGUAAGAGACUGACACUUUGACAAACAGUGACCUGUUGGCAUUGAUUUGUGAGUGCAAGUAGUUGCUGUAACAAACAAGCCCUUUGUUUCAGUGGCUAUAGUGGUCUGUCAUACCUAUGGCCCCCGGUAAACUAUAUCUUUUACUAUGCACACUUGGUAUAGCCAUCUCUCCACAAAUUGGGCUGACUCUGUGACUUGCCCUAAUGUAGAGAACACAGUGGAGGUGAUGCUAGUUCCAUUCCAAGCCUAAGCCUUAGGAAGGUCUGGCAGGUUCCACUUUCCCAUUCUUGGCCACCCUGAGCUCCAGAGAAGAAGUCUGGCUAUGCUGUUGGAGAGACAAAUGGAGGACCACAGGAGAGGCCAUGGGGAAGAGGGAGAGGUCCUGAUAGUGAGAAAAGGAAGGGGUCCUGAUGAGAAAGAGAGAGAGAGAGGCCAGGCAUCCUAGUACCCUAGCUGAACCCAGCCUCCAGCCAACCCACCAGCUGAACAUGUUGGUUGCAUGAGUAACCAGCUACAAGACUGGUGGAGGAAAUGCCCAGCUAAGCCCAACCCGUAGGCUGAAUUGUGUGCAAUUAAAAAUAGCUGUUGUCUUAACCCACUAAGCUUUGAGAUGGCUUGCUAUGCAAUAAUAGGUAAUGAUAUAGAGGGUUUUGAUAGAAUGCAAGUUUCUUUCUCAUUCACCAUAUACUUCAGUGUAGGCUGAGAGCCAGGGGUGCUCUGCUCCAUGCUGUCAUUCAGGGAUUCAGUAUCUUUCCAUAGCGUGGCUCCAACAUCUUCCAGGGCCUUGGAGAGCUCAUCCAGAGCAUCUACACCUGAUUACAGAGGAUUUUGCAGGAGGCGUUUGGUGAGGGGUGAAGCUCUGAAAAUGGCUGGCAGUUACAUGGCCCCACUUAACUUAAAGGGGGGUGGAAAAUGUGACUGAACCAUGUGACCAGGAUAAAUAGGAAAAGUACAGAUUUGCAGAGCCCUACCAUCUCCUCACGCAUGUUAUUAAAACACAUACAUCUCAUACACAACAACACUAAUGACAGUGAGUCUUGUGCUAGAACAUGAAUAAAUGGCUUUGGGGACCCUGACAAAAGAGCAGUGAGUUUUGCUUGGAGCCAGAUGGCCAGUCAGCAAAUACAUAGAGUGGUGAGUAACGUUUUGGACUGAGUUUUGAAGGAUGACUAGGAAUUUUCCAGCCAGAAGGGGAAGGUGAAUCUAGGCAGAGGGUAAAUGGCCAUGAAAGAAAUAUUAUAGGCAGAAAGAAGUUAAAGAAAUAGCCACGAAAUGAAUGAAACUAGGUUCGGAUGACCCGUUUUGAGGCCUCAGAGUAGGAUGGCGUUAGAGGACCCCUGGGGUUUUCAGAUACAUGAACUUUUAGGUUGAACCCAUUUUGAGCUGAGUUCAGUUACUUGUAAACCAAAGACCCCUGAUAAGUAAUCCUUCCUCAUUUAAAAUUCUAGGAUUAUUAAUUUCUAAACAAGUAAUAUCCAUUGCAUCAUCCAAGACCAAUCACCCAAAAGUGCAGUAGGAGACAGCUAGAUAAUAAACAUAAAGCAUCCCCAACCAGAUCUUUACCCCUGGUCUAUCCGGUCAGAGUCCUUGAUUAGUUACUCUAUUACCUCUUCUUUGGAGUCAAAACAUUUCCAUCUUGGGAGCUCCCUGGUGGUACAACAGGUUAAGGAUCUGGCGUUGUCACUGCUGUGGCUUGUGUUGCUGCUGUGGUGAGGGUUUGAUCCCUGGCUGGGGAACUUCUGGGGAACACAGGUGCGGCCAAAAAAACCCCCCUCAAUUGUUCUAAAAACAUUUCUGUCUCUGAACCUCUGGCUCCCCUCUGUCAGAGGGCAUUGCAGCAGACAUAUCACAGGGGCGUCCCCUUAGCUCCUCCUGGAACUAUGCCAUCCCAAGGGACCUACUUCUGGCUACAGAUGAUUAGAUGAGAGGUAGCCACCUGACUCUUGAUAAGCCAAUCACAUUCUCUCCUAUUAGAACUGGAACGAGAGACUCAAAAUCUCCAGAGAGACAUUGAUAAGCCUGCAGUUGACAGUCUGGGACUUAGGAUCUGUUUUUAGCAAGGAGCAAGUUGGAAGGUGGAUAGCUGGAAAUUCAUCUUCAGAGAAAGGCUGGAGCAGAAACAGAUAACAGAGAAGCAGUAGAGGCUGAGAAUGGAGAGAAAGAAAGGAGGGGCAUGGCCCAGUUCCUUUCCACUUCCCAGGACCCCCAACCCAAUGUCCUGCUUUUGUUUUUCAUGUUCUCCCUUGUAACCUCCUAAGAAGCCCCCUUCUCUUAGAGCAUUUGGAUAGGUUACUGUUCUUUGUGAAAUAAAUUAUUCCUGGCUGAAGCAGAGAACACAACAAUUUGUUGGCGCUAUUGCAAGACUAAUAACAUCGUAAUAUAAAAGUAUGAUCAUGAAGCAAAUGGAGGGUAAAAAUAUGAGAAUGUUGUUGUGGCGAUUGCGUGCGAUUAUCCAUGAUAGGCAUAGUUCCUGGCACAUAAUAGGUGCGCUGACUCCCAAACAUGCCGCUGUGACCAUUACGACAACCCUUAGUGUUCCUCGAACAGCCUCCAUACACACACACAUUCCUGAGUGUGUGACUUUACUGAGGAUUUAAUAAGGAAUGGAGAAGGGUUACCUCACCUGGCACACAACUGCCCACCUCAAAUCCCAAUACAUAUCCUCUUCUACAAAGACUGUAUCCAGCCAUGGCCUACAAAGUAUUUUUUUCUUUCCUUCUCCCAAGAAGGCCCCAGACACAUGACCUCUUCUCUACCUCCAGAGUUCCCAGCUCCACCCCAGACUUGCACAGCCAAUCCCAUCCAGGUCCUCAGCAGAACAAAGGCUCUCCAUGUAAUAGUCAGCCUGUUCCCUGCUUACACUAACCAUGGCGACUGAGGUUGAGCAGACCACUGUCGGCUCCAGUGUUGGCCCUCGGAGUGAAGCUAGAUCUGGCUCUGCCAAGAGACCAACAGGACAGAACAUCAGCUCCCAUCCAGGACCGGGGUCUGAUUCAAUCUCUCCCUGACAGAUGCUGUGUGACGCUGGCGGGCCCGCCCUUUGUCAGCCUUCUCCUCCCCAUUGCUCUCUCUCUCACCUCCCUUGCCCGUCUUAAGGACUCUUGAAGAUGACACAUCAGGCAAAUGCCAAGUUGUCAGUGAUGGAGGUGGAGCCUGAAUGGAACAUUAGGACUCAUCAACAAAAGCUGACAAAAGGGCAGGAAGCCCGAGGCUUGUUCUAGGGGGAAGGUGCUCUGUCUCCACAGAAGGGGAGAAGUCUGGCAGGAGAGGGAGGUUGGAGAAGCUGCGAGAAAUCCUUCUAAUGUACCCGAUGUGUCUUGACAUGUCUUGCAUCUCAUUCUCCACAAAGCUCCAAGACCAUUCAGGAAGUGGGCAUGUGUGGGAGUUUUGAAACAAUGAGGAGCUGCCAGCCCACAUCACAAUUUAACUAAAAUGGGCCCUCAGUGGCCUUUGGUCAAACGUAUUGGUUAACUUAAUUUCAUGCCCGUGCUUUCCAAUUCUACAACACAGUCACCCAGACAAUAAUUUUAUUGGCCCCAGGAACCAUGAUGCAUAUAAGCUUUUAAUUUGCCCAGUAUCCUUGCAACCUUUCUAAAAUAGAUAAAUCACUGAUAUUCAUUGUUGACCUCAAAUUUCAUCAUCACUCAAGUUUCAAGUGUGAAAUUCUGGAAAAAAAAAAAAAAAAAAAA